This is a non-coding RNA of Vicia faba (fava bean), 255 nucleotides long. Lineage: Eukaryota; Viridiplantae; Streptophyta; Magnoliopsida; Fabales; Fabaceae. The record is from the annotation of a GenBank genome assembly.
AUGUGGAGUGUGAAGGUCUAUGGAGUUGGAGCUGUGAGUAUGAGCAGGGUUUUGCUUGGUAUAUUUCAGGCAAGUUUUUGGAUAGUGGACAAUAGCAUAGCAAGGUUUUGUAGAGCAAAGUCGCAGGUUUUUUGGAUUGGUUUGGAUAGUAAGGUUGUUUGUGUUUACAAGGCUGGAAUUUGUACUGGCUUUGUGGCAAGUUUAUGGCUGGAUGCAUAUUUGAAAAGGGAGCUCGAUUUUGGAGCAUGGAUAUGA